UUUCGUUUCUCUCCUCUCUCUGCGAAAGACGAAUCGAUGGCGAUUCCCUCCUUUCCGUGGCUCUCCUUGACGGAACGACGACGGCUCUAUCGGUGGGGCUCGGCGACGAAGGAAAACCGCGGUGGGUCUUGUCGUUGUUUGAAGACGGCAAGAAACGUCGAGAAACGGCGACAGACGGCGACAUCUCUCUCUAUCGGUGACUCUCUGAGACGAUCUAUACCGGCGACUGUUGCGGCUGAGGCGAAUCGAAAGGUAAAGCUGCAUGCAUGUCUUUAGAUUCUUCAUCCUCAAUCUUAAUAAAUCAUCUGAUUUGCUAUGAUUUGUUGUGUUUUUAGUGAAAUUGAUCAAGCGGCAUCACACAGGUUCUCUUUCUCUCAGUUAUUAAUUUGAAAUACAAAGUUUCAGAAUAUUUUUUGAUUUGUGUCUGUUUUCUCUUGAGGUGGAUUGAUCAAGAUGCUGUCCGAGAGAGUGUGUGUGGGGGUUAAGGUAUAUUUAGCUGUUUGUGUGUGGGGGUUAAGGUAUAUUUAGCUGUUUGAUCAAGAGGCUGUCCGAGAGAGUGUGUGUGGGGGUUAAGGUGGAUUGAUCAAGAGGCUGUCCGGCGACUGUUGUUGUCUUUGUAUAGUGUUCAUGGGUCUUUGGAGUUCACGGGUCUUUGCACUCUUGUCGUUGAUGUUCUUAUAUAUACUUAACAUUAUGAUCACAAGCCAUUGCCAUCUCACUUUCUUUUGAUCACAAGCCAUUCUCUCUGAUUUUAAUCUCACAUUCUCUCUAUCUUUUACUCUCACAUUCUCUCUAUCCUUCCAUUCUCUCUGAUUUUAAUCUUUUUUAAUUGUUAAGAACCUUAAUUAAGCUAUCACCAAUAAACCCCAAUAAUUAACUGUCUCUUAGCAAAAUCUCUUAUCAUAAUUUUAAUAAUUAAAAAAUCAUUACAAUCCACCUAAGAGACACUAAUGGGUCUCGCUAAUAAACAUGCUCUAAGGACUUAAGCCAUUGAUGCUCUUCUCUUCACCUGCUUAACAAAAAACUUCUCAUUCAUUCUUUGAAACGAUAUAUAUAUGUUCUUAUCACCUACUUUUCUAUUUUGUUGUUUCUCAG
Molecule: long non-coding RNA, 1095 nt
Filed under: Brassica rapa (field mustard)
Lineage: Eukaryota; Viridiplantae; Streptophyta; Magnoliopsida; Brassicales; Brassicaceae
Description: long non-coding RNA (BRAP_LNC002316)
Source: RNAcentral